GGGCCCGCACAAGCGGCGGAGCAUGCGGAUUAAUUCGAUGCAACGCGAAGAACCUUACCAAGGCUUGACAUAUAGAGGAAAAGUGCAGAAAUGCACUCCCCGCAAGGUCUCUAUACAGGUGGUGCAUGGUUGUCGUCAGCUCGUGUCGUGAGAUGUUGGGUUAAGUCCCGCAACGAGCGCAACCCUCGUCCUAUGUUGCCAGCACGUAAUGGUGGGAACUCAUGGGAUACUGCCGGGGUCAACUCGGAGGAAGGUGGGGAUGACGUCAAAUCAUCAUGCCCCUUAUGUCUUGGGCUUCACGCAUGCUACAAUGGCCGGUACAGAGGGCCCCCGUCAAUUCCUUUGAGUAG
RNAcentral lists this ribosomal RNA (350 nucleotides) under uncultured bacterium. RNAcentral describes it as "bacterial SSU rRNA". It matches the Rfam family "Bacterial small subunit ribosomal RNA", at positions 917 to 1266 of the family's 1533-position model. The record is from RNAcentral.